GGAUGAAGCGAAAGUAAAAUUUCGUGGAGGUCCGAACCCACGAGCGUUGAAAAGCUCGGGGAUGACUUGUGGGUAGCGGUGAAAUUCCAAUCGAGCCCGGAGAUAGCUGGUUCUCCCCGAAAUAGCUUUAGGGCUAGCCUCAAGGUGAGAGAUACGGAGGUAGAGCACUGAAUGUCCUAGGGGGUAUUGCACCUACCGAAGACUAUCAAACUCCGAAUGCCGUCAUCUUAUACUUGGGAGUCAGACUGUGGGUGAUAAGAUUCAUAGUCGAAAGGGCAACAGCCCAGAUCGUCAGCUAAGGUCCCUAAAUGUAAGUUAAGUGGUAAAGGAUGUGGGAUUGCACAGACAACCAGGAUGUUGGCUUAGAAGCAGCCACUCAUUCAA
Molecule: ribosomal RNA, 384 nt
Filed under: Clostridioides difficile
Lineage: Bacteria; Bacillati; Bacillota; Clostridia; Peptostreptococcales; Peptostreptococcaceae
Description: partial 23S ribosomal RNA
Rfam family: Bacterial large subunit ribosomal RNA
Source: RNAcentral